This 468-nucleotide ribosomal RNA is filed under the name uncultured bacterium. RNAcentral describes it as "partial 16S ribosomal RNA". It matches the Rfam family "Bacterial small subunit ribosomal RNA", at positions 28 to 507 of the family's 1533-position model. The record is from RNAcentral.
GACGAACGCUGGCGGCGUGCUUAACACAUGCAAGUCGAACGGAAAGGCCCUGCUUUUGUGGGGUGCUCGAGUGGCGAACGGGUGAGUAACACGUGAGUAACCUGCCCUUGACUUUGGGAUAACUUCAGGAAACUGGGGCUAAUACCGGAUAGGAGCUCCUGCUGCAUGGUGGGGGUUGGAAAGUUUCGGCGGUUGGGGAUGGACUCGCGGCUUAUCAGCUUGUUGGUGGGGUAGUGGCUUACCAAGGCUUUGACGGGUAGCCGGCCUGAGAGGGUGACCGGCAACAUUGGGACUGAGACACGACCCAGACUCCUACGGGAGGCAGCAGUGGGGAAUAUUGCACAAUGGGCGGAAGCCUGAUGCAGCAACGCCGCGCGCGGGAUGACGGCCUUCGGGUUGUAAACCGCUUUCGCCUGUGACGAAGCGUGAGUGACGGUAAUGGGUAAAGAAGCACCGGCUAACUACGUG